GGUUGCUCUGUUCCCUGCUAUUUCUCUCACCGUCAUCAUCGCCGGUCUACAACGGCACCGAUUACAAAGGGGUUUUCUUCUUUCGCCGUUAGGUAUCAACCCCCCACUCUGGUUUCUCUGCCUCUAAUAAUCUUUUCAACAAGAAUUGCUUCGAGACAAAGAUUGCAAAUUCUGUUUUUCUGUUCAGAGAUGAUUGGAAGAGUUAAUGGGGAAGAAAGGGGGUGGAUGGUUUUCUGCAGUGAGGAAGGCAUUUGUCUAUAGUAAUGAUUCAAAGGAAAAUACAGAAUAAAAG
Long non-coding RNA from Helianthus annuus (common sunflower), 292 nucleotides. RefSeq lists it as uncharacterized. The record is from RefSeq and is a predicted model, not a curated record. NCBI's taxonomy places the organism in Eukaryota, Viridiplantae, Streptophyta, Magnoliopsida, Asterales, Asteraceae. The transcript is spliced from 3 exons.